CUUGUGUGUAAAUUAAGCUCACCCCUCGUUUACACCAAGAAACAAGUCUAACUAAAAUAAAACUUGUUUGUUGCCAACAAUCUGCACACAACACAUCUGCUUGCACAUAAUAUUGAGUCUGAGACAUGUUUGAUCCAGUCUGAUACAUUGACAGCGUUAGUGACAUACACGUUGUUAACAAGUAUUGUCAAUUUUAGUGAAGGUUAUGUUUAAUACUUGUUUAAAACAAGUUUUAUAUUGUAUCCAUGCUUGUUGGAUAAAGUUUUAAACAUUUAACGGACAGACUGCAUUUUAUUAUUAAAGUGGAAAAGAAGAAGACAAAUGGAGUGGUCAAAGAAACAAACCUUAGAUCUCAUUGAGCUCUUACAUGUACAUGAAUGCCUGUGGAAUGUGAAAACUGAAGCUUAUAAAGAUCGUCAGAAAAAAAAAGACGCAUUGGCAGCAAUUGCUCUGCAAAUGGACCUUAAUGCUAACGAUAUUGACAAAAAGAUUACAAACCUUAAGAAUCAGUUUAAUAGGGAAGUAAAUAAAAUAAGAACUAAAUCAGGACGCGGUACCGAUGAUGCAUACGUCAGCCUCUGGUAUGCCUUUAAGCCGCUAGGUUUUUUAAGACAUAAUAAUUUACCUGAGGUACAAAAUGACAAUGUAGCGUCAAACUUAUUGAGUGUAUCACUGAUCGAAGAUUAUCAUAUACCUAGUGUAUCGGGAGCAUCGGAUGUGUCACUUUUAACCGAAUUCAAAAAAAGAGGAGGUUCUCAAUUCGUCGAAAAAAAGGGUGUGAAAAGAAGGAAGCCUUCAGACGAUAGGCAAAAAGAAGUGCUGUCUGCGAUGAAGGGGUCACGUGACGACCUCAUCAAAUGCCCAGCCAAAGAUGAGUUUGAUGUGUUCGGUGAAUAUGUUGCUUUCGAGAUAAGAGGUGUUAAUAGGAAAAGAAAUAUUUUAGACCUAAAGAAAAAAAUACAAGACUUAAUUUAUUUAACUAAAUUGAGUGAAAUGAACUAUAAGCCUGAUUCUUUACGGUCGCCAGCGAGCCAGGAGCUACCAAGUGUACCAAGAGAUUUGACUGAAGACAACCCAGACAUGGAAGUUGGUGUCAAUAUAGAAAUAAGAGAUUAAUUUUUGUUAUCUUUGAAACGAACUUGAAAAAAGGAGUGUGGAACCGCAAAUUUUAUUAUUUUUUGAUGCAAUUACAUUCAAACGAUUUAUCAACGAUACGUCACUCGAACGGUUGGCUCAGUGGAAGAGCACUCGCACGGAACGCGAGAGCUCGCUGGUUCGAGUCCCGCAUCGUUCAUAAAUUUAAUUUGUGUAAUUAAUCCCACAAGUGAGUGUUUUCCCUUUAAAAAAUAACAAAUUGUGCACUCCAGUAGGCAAUUGAGAUUAAUGAAUAUUCAUUAUACCUACUUCAAGACUGACGUGUAUUAAUUCUGCAAAUUUAGCUACAAGCCCAUAACAAGUAUAAAAAUAUGAGAUCAUAAACAUGUAGACAACAAACAGUUCACAAACAAUUUCACCCAACAAGUUUCAUACAAAUAUUGUCUGCAACAAGUUUUAUAUUUUGGAAACAUUACAUAAACGUUGUGUUUGAAAUUUGCAUGAAACUUGUAUAAUACAUGUAUCACACCUUGGUGUCAACGUGGGGUGAGAAAUAUACCUACUCUACACUCUGUAUUUGCCCUCUCUGAAAUCAAACAUAGAGUAUGUUUGAUUUCUCUUACUUCUUUCAGAUAAAGUUACCAA
Molecule: long non-coding RNA, 1740 nt
Organism: Leptidea sinapis
Lineage: Eukaryota; Metazoa; Arthropoda; Insecta; Lepidoptera; Pieridae
Exons: 3
Source: RefSeq, a predicted model, not a curated record